AUGGACGGCGCGACGACCUUCUUCGCUUGGUGGGCGCUUGCGUCCGCCACCUCGCCGAGCGGACUCCGUAAAGGGCUCAACUCCAUCGUCGCUCUAACCGCUUGGGCCAUCUGGAAGCAUCGCAACGCCGCCAUCUUCGACGGCUUACAACCCUCCACUGAUGGUCUGGUGGUCUCCAUCAAGGAUGACGCUCGCCUAUGGGCUAAGGCCGGCGCCAAGGGACUAGCCUCUAUUAUUCCUGUAACCUGA
Molecule: ribosomal RNA, 249 nt
Filed under: Triticum aestivum (bread wheat)
Lineage: Eukaryota; Viridiplantae; Streptophyta; Magnoliopsida; Poales; Poaceae
Description: partial small subunit ribosomal RNA
Source: RNAcentral